UACAGAGGGGGCAAGCGUUAUUCGGAAUUAUUGGGCGUAAAGAGCGUGUAGGCGGUCAGGUAGGUCCGCUGUGAAAACUCGAGGCUCAACCUCGAGAUGUCGGCGGAAACCAUCUGGCUAGAGUCCGGAAGAGGAGAGUGGAAUUCCUGGUGUAGCGGUGAAAUGCGCAGAUAUCAGGAGGAACACCUGUGGUGUAGACGGCUCUCUGGACAGUAACUGACGCUGAGACACGAAAGCGUGGGUAGCAAACAGG
Molecule: ribosomal RNA, 253 nt
Filed under: uncultured bacterium
Lineage: Bacteria
Description: partial 16S ribosomal RNA
Rfam family: Bacterial small subunit ribosomal RNA
Source: RNAcentral